AUUGAACGCUGGCGGCAGGCUUAACACAUGCAAGUCGAGCGGGGUGAUGGUGCUUGCACUAUCACUUAGCGGCGGACGGGUGAGUAAUACUUAGGAAUCUGCCUAUUAGUGGGGGACAACAUCUCGAAAGGGAUGCUAAUACCGCAUACGUCCUAAGGGAGAAAGCAGGGGAUCACUUGUGACCUUGCGCUAAUAGAUGAGCCUAAGUCGGAUUAGCUAGUUGGUGGGGUAAAGGCCUACCAAGGCGACGAUCUGUAGCGGGUCUGAGAGGAUGAUCCGCCACACUGGGACUGAGACACGGCCCAGACUCCUACGGGAGGCAGCAGUGGGGAAUAUUGGACAAUGGGGGGAACCCUGAUCCAGCCAUGCCGCGUGUGUGAAGAAGGCCUUAUGGUUGUAAAGCACUUUAAGUGAGGAGGAGGCUCUUUUGGUUAAUACCCAAGAUGAGUGGACGUUACUCGCAGAAUAAGCACCGGCUAACUCUGUGCCAGCCGCCGCGGUAA
Molecule: ribosomal RNA, 503 nt
Filed under: uncultured bacterium
Lineage: Bacteria
Description: partial 16S ribosomal RNA
Rfam family: Bacterial small subunit ribosomal RNA
Source: RNAcentral